Molecule: ribosomal RNA, 675 nt
Filed under: Bacillus sp. SOK27
Lineage: Bacteria; Bacillati; Bacillota; Bacilli; Caryophanales; Bacillaceae
Description: bacterial SSU rRNA
Rfam family: Bacterial small subunit ribosomal RNA
Source: RNAcentral
UGCAAGUCGAGCGAAUGGAUUAAGAGCUUGCUCUUAUGAAGUUAGCGGCGGACGGGUGAGUAACACGUGGGUAACCUGCCCAUAAGACUGGGAUAACUCCGGGAAACCGGGGCUAAUACCGGAUAACAUUUUGAACUGCAUGGUUCGAAAUUGAAAGGCGGCUUCGGCUGUCACUUAUGGAUGGACCCGCGUCGCAUUAGCUAGUUGGUGAGGUAACGGCUCACCAAGGCAACGAUGCGUAGCCGACCUGAGAGGGUGAUCGGCCACACUGGGACUGAGACACGGCCCAGACUCCUACGGGAGGCAGCAGUAGGGAAUCUUCCGCAAUGGACGAAAGUCUGACGGAGCAACGCCGCGUGAGUGAUGAAGGCUUUCGGGUCGUAAAACUCUGUUGUUAGGGAAGAACAAGUGCUAGUUGAAUAAGCUGGCACCUUGACGGUACCUAACCAGAAAGCCACGGCUAACUACGUGCCAGCAGCCGCGGUAAUACGUAGGUGGCAAGCGUUAUCCGGAAUUAUUGGGCGUAAAGCGCGCGCAGGUGGUUUCUUAAGUCUGAUGUGAAAGCCCACGGCUCAACCGUGGAGGGUCAUUGGAAACUGGGAGACUUGAGUGCAGAAGAGGAAAGUGGAAUUCCAUGUGUAGCGGUGAAAUGCGUAGAGAUAUGGAGGAACACCA